UUGGAUGUUAUAUUAUACUAAAUUUCACUUUCUGUGACCGCUUAACAUACAGUUUUACCUUUUUUAUUUCCCCCAAAGUAGUUUUAAAGGACUGGUGUGUAGGAUUUAGAUGCAUCCAGCGGUGAGGUUGCAGAAGAUACAACUGAAUACCCUUCCCCUUCCACUUAAGCAUGUAGGAGAAACUAUAGUGGCCCUCUCUAGAGCCAGUGUUUGGUUUGUCCAUUCUGGGCUACUGUAGAAACAUGGUGGGCUCCGUGGAAGGGGACCCUCUCCCUAUGUAGAUAUAAAGGGAGAGGGUAGUCAGCUUACUCUGUUGGGACGAAAAUAGCCGCAUGCUGUCGGGUAAAAAAAGACACCAUUACAAAAAACAAAAUUAAACACCAAAGGAGAGUGCUGCUUCAGUCUCUGAAAAACCUCCACGCCAACUACAAUACAACCGCCCUGAAACACCAUGCAGUCUCAUUCAGACAGUUCCUCAGAUACUGCCCUUUUUAUGUUACUCCAGCAAAAGAGUCCGACCGAAACACCUGUGCCUGCUAUGACCACGACAAUUUUAAAAUGAUUAUUGACAAGCUCUGUCAGAAAGGCAUUUUGUUGACUAACAGCAUUUCGGAUCUCCUGGAAGCAAUUGUUUGUGACCCGGCCAACCAGAAGUGUAUGUACCGCUUGUGUACAAGGUAUUGCUACAAUGAAGUGGAGUUCGAGGGCCCACUAGAUAAUAGCAUCGUCACAUGGGAGCAGUGGGAGAGGAUUGUUGUUACAGAGGAGGAGAAAACAUCUGCAAAAUAUCAAAAGAUUGAAAAGAGUGGCAGGAUGGCAGACCUUCUCAGUCUCCUGAACAGCUGGACGCCUUCACUCGCCAUCAGUUUCUCUGCUUACAGAUGAACUGUGUGUUCAUGUUGAUUUCUCUGAAAAUUAUGGCUGCAAAUUAAAUCGCAAGAUCCAGCCCUUUCACGUUACUGGCAGCCAGAAGCAGUCGACCAUCAACACUUAACAGGGACAGAGCUAACAUACACACUGAAAUGCUGCAAAGCCAAAAUCAAGGCUAGCGUUUCCUUUUCAAUGACUUCAGAUGAAGAGGGACCACUUGUUUCCUGUGGCUGUUGGAGAGGAACUGACGCCUGCUGAUACAAAACCUCCUGGAAAACUUUUGAGAAUCAACCCUGAUGACUCUAAAUGCAAAUCAACAUCACCGGUGAGCCAGAACUCUGGAAAGAGGAUCCAAAGAAAAAAACGGCACCCUGAGUCCCCACGUGGCGUCUCUCAUCAGAGAGCUUGUCCACUUUGAUUGGCAAAAUUACUGAACUGCAACACAACAACAACAUAAAGUGAUUUUGAUUGUA
Long non-coding RNA from Thunnus maccoyii (southern bluefin tuna), 1343 nucleotides. RefSeq lists it as uncharacterized. The transcript has 2 exons. NCBI's taxonomy places the organism in Eukaryota, Metazoa, Chordata, Actinopteri, Scombriformes, Scombridae. The record is from RefSeq and is a predicted model, not a curated record.